RNAcentral lists this ribosomal RNA (358 nucleotides) under uncultured bacterium. Its description in RNAcentral is "bacterial SSU rRNA". It matches the Rfam family "Bacterial small subunit ribosomal RNA", at positions 29 to 416 of the family's 1533-position model. The record is from RNAcentral.
AGCGAACGCUGGCGGCAGGCCUAACACAUGCAAGUCGAGCGCCCAGCAAUGGGAGCGGCAGACGGGAGAGUAACACGUGGGAACGUGCCUUUUGGUUCGGAAUAACUCAGGGAAACUUGAGCUAAUACCGGAUAAGCCCUUACGGGGAAAGAUUUAUUGCCAAAAGAGCGGCCCGCGUCCGAUUAGCUAGUUGGUGAGGUAAUGGCUCACCAAGGCGACGAUCGGUAGCUGGUCGAGAGGAUGACCAGCCUCAUUGGGACUGAGACACGGCCCAAACUCCUACGGGAGGCAGCAGUGGGGAAUAUUGGACAAUGGGCGCAAGCCUGAUCCAGCCAAUGCCGCGUGAGUGAUGAAGGCC